GUGGUCGUAGCUCAAUGGCAGAGCUCCAGUUUGUGGCACUGGAGGUUGACGGUUCGAGUCCGUUCGACCACC
Molecule: transfer RNA, 72 nt
Filed under: Berkelbacteria bacterium GW2011_GWE1_39_12
Lineage: Bacteria; Candidatus Berkelbacteria
Description: tRNA-His
Rfam family: tRNA
About the family: Transfer RNA (tRNA) molecules are approximately 80 nucleotides in length. Their secondary structure includes four short double-helical elements and three loops (D, anti-codon, and T loops).
Source: RNAcentral